GUAUUUAUAGUAUAAUUAUUACAUUAGCCUUUCACGCUAAAAAUACACCCACCUAUUGUUAAAUACA
RNAcentral lists this transfer RNA (67 nucleotides) under Paraleonnates uschakovi. RNAcentral describes it as "tRNA-Glu". Lineage: Eukaryota; Metazoa; Annelida; Polychaeta; Phyllodocida; Nereididae. The record is from RNAcentral.